UAAUCCCUACGGGGCGCAGCAGUAGGGAAUAUUGCUCAAUGGGGGAAACCCUGAAGCAGCAACGCCGCGUGGAGGAUGAAGGUUUUAGGAUUGUAAACUCCUUUUGUUAGAGAAGAUUAUGACGGUAUCUAACGAAUAAGCACCGGCUAACUCCGUGCCAGCAGCCGCGGUAAUACGGAGGGUGCAAGCGUUACUCGGAAUCACUGGGCGUAAAGAGUGCGUAGGCGCGGCAAUCAGUCUGAUGUCAAAUCCU
RNAcentral lists this ribosomal RNA (253 nucleotides) under uncultured bacterium. RNAcentral describes it as "partial 16S ribosomal RNA". It matches the Rfam family "Bacterial small subunit ribosomal RNA", at positions 333 to 603 of the family's 1533-position model. The record is from RNAcentral.